Nannospalax galili (Upper Galilee mountains blind mole rat) is the source of this 996-nucleotide long non-coding RNA. RefSeq lists it as uncharacterized. The transcript is spliced from 3 exons. The record is from RefSeq and is a predicted model, not a curated record. NCBI's taxonomy places the organism in Eukaryota, Metazoa, Chordata, Mammalia, Rodentia, Spalacidae.
UUGAGUGACUUCAAAGUCUAUCAAUGACCCAACAUUCCACACUGUCUUCUUACACUGAAAAACAGGAGCAGGAGUCACUGGAUAGCUUCUACGAAUUGCCUGGGAUUGGAAUUCCUGUUCUUCCUCCUAGAUUUAUAAACAGAAGCUGUGGGUCUGUGGAAGCCAAAGUACACAGGACAGAUGCAAACAAGCCACCCAUUGAGGAGGAUUCCAGCAUGCUACUGGCUCACUGCCGAGUCCUUUCAGAAGAAGGAAGAGUAAGAAAAAUGUUUGUGAUGAUUUGGAAUUAAAGCGGCCUACUUUCAUACGGCUUUGGUUCACUCAUUCAUCUACAAAGUAUUGGCUGAGCCCCGUGAUGGUUAAUCUUGAACUGUCAAUCUGAUUGUCUUGAGGAAUGCCUAGAUACGUGAAGCACUCUUCUAGAGGAGGAAACACGCUGAACAAUCACAUGACUGAUGAUGACAGGUGGGAGAAGAAUUCCUAAGAGACUCCUUUGUGAUUGAAAGGAUGUGACGUGGCCUCUGGGCUCCUGACUGUUCUGUAAGUACGGCCCUUGAGAGAGGAGUUCGGGGUGUGAAGAAUCAUCAUUGCCCACUGAUGUUCCUGCAUUCGUUUGUGUGUGUUACUCUUCAGUGACAAGGUGGAACCGGAGUCUGGGUGGGCCUGUAUGACUGUAUUGCAAACCCGUUUCCAUCUGUUCGACCUUGCUACAUUCACCCAUGACAGCUUGGCUCCUUACCAACCAACUGUGGGGGAAUUUCCACGUGAAGUGACACAAGCUGUGAGAGGGAGGUGUAAGCUAGAACCCAGGGAUUUUUAUUCUCAGUAUUCUUUUCCAUCUUCAUGAGAAGAGGCCCCAGAAGACACCUGGGUGUGACUACUUCAAGAAUAACAGAUCACAGAAGCCCAUUUUAGACAAGACUAAGAAGCUUUUGUCACUGUUGAUACCUACAUCACCUCAUGAUUUUCUUAAAAUAAAAGCUUUAUCCAUGUGCA